UCCGCUUUCACCCUUUGAAAGUCCGAGGUUUCUUCCAUGACUUUCUUGACAAGCCUCUCCAUUUCAGCUUUUUCCAUAUUCAUGGUGUUCUCUUCCCUUGUUCGUCUUUGAACUUCGAUACCUUCUGCAACGAUGCAACCUAGUCUGCCGACUUCUUCCAUCAGAGAAGGAAUGACCACCAUCCUGAUGAUUGGAGAGAUUUGCGUGACGCAGCUCUACAACAAGUGCUUUGUGCUGUUCAAGCUCAAGGGUGAUACGAGCAAGGUCAGCUCGAAGGGAUCCUACCAGCGCUUCCAGUGCUAAAUUUAAACAUGAUCAGUUGUCUUCAUGAUCGUAGAGAGGCUACAAAGGGCAACUUACCCGAUUUCUCAUUUUCAGACUUUCUUGUCUUCUUUUCUCCAUUUCUCCUAGCAGCAUCCACUUCUUGAUUUGCUUUCUCCGCUUCAGCUUCCAGCUCUUUUACUCUCCGACGGGAGACCGAACUUUCCAUUUCCAAAGCCCUUAAUCGAGCAUGGAGAGUCGCUAAUGUAUGGGGGAUAUUUACUGCAAUAUUCUUAGCAUUCAUCCAUCUCAACAAUCAAGUGCUCACCAGCUGGCUCCCCGCCUAGGUCGCCAUUGCUUUUCAAGGAAUCGAAUAUUAAGCCUUUGGCUGGCGUGGCCAUCAAUGCACUCAUACCUGUCACAUCGGCUGAAGCAUCUGGAUUUUUCCGAACAGGCGCACUUGUAGCCUUCUUACCUUCAUUCUGGAGCAUACGUAGCCUGUCAA
RNAcentral lists this small RNA (766 nucleotides) under Cryptococcus neoformans H99. RNAcentral's name for it is "Cryptococcus neoformans var. grubii H99 hypothetical RNA". Lineage: Eukaryota; Fungi; Basidiomycota; Tremellomycetes; Tremellales; Cryptococcaceae. The record is from RNAcentral.